AACGCUGGCCGGCGUGCUAACACAUGCAAGUCGAACGAGAAAGUGGAGCUAUCCAUGAGUAAAGUGGCGACCGGGUGAGUAACACGUGACUAACCUACCUCCGAGUGGGGAAUAACUCCGGGAAACCGGGGCUAAUACCGCAUAACAUCUCGAGAUCAAAGCAGCAAUGCGCUUGGAGAGGGGGUCGCGGCUGAUUAGCUAGUUGGUAGGGUAACGGCCUACCAAGGCGAAGAUCGGUAUCCGGCCUGAUAGGGCGCACGGACACACUGGAACUGAAACACGGUCCAGACUCCUACGGGUGGCAGCAGUGGGGAAUUUUGCGCAAUGGGGGAAACCCUGACGCAGCAACUCCGCGUGGAGGAUGAAGCCCCUUGGGGCGUAAACUCCUUUCGACCAAGAUGAUAAUGACGGUACUGGUGGAAGAAGCACCGGCUAACUCUGUGCCAGCAUCCGCGGUAAUU
This 461-nucleotide ribosomal RNA is filed under the name uncultured Acidobacteriota bacterium. RNAcentral describes it as "bacterial SSU rRNA". It matches the Rfam family "Bacterial small subunit ribosomal RNA", at positions 32 to 525 of the family's 1533-position model. The record is from RNAcentral. Lineage: Bacteria; Pseudomonadati; Acidobacteriota.